GCUCCGGUGGCCUAGUGGUUUGAGCGCCCGCCUCGGAUGCGGGAUGUUGUGGGUUUGAACCCCGGCCGAGUCA
Molecule: non-coding RNA, 73 nt
Organism: Potamilus streckersoni
Lineage: Eukaryota; Metazoa; Mollusca; Bivalvia; Unionida; Unionidae
Source: the annotation of a GenBank genome assembly